AUGGAGGGCGACGAGAUCUUUGCAAGCCUAGACUCGCUCUGGUUCCACUCCAGCGUCCUUCACCGGCGGCCGCGCUUCAAGCAGCACUCGGAAGAGCUGAAGCCGCCCAGGAAUCAAGAUCAGCAUCCCAAAUGCGUCGACGGCGAGGUGACGCUGGGAGCGAGAAGAGCGGAUCCGGGAAGCAGGGCGCUUCAAGAGCGCAUCGAGACAUGGCAGGAGGAGCAGUGGCGGCGGACGCUCGUCGUCGCGGCACCGCCACGGUGCUCGCCCGUCAGCGAUGGUGUGGCCAUGAAGGCUCAUCUCAGGUCGUGGGCUCAUGCCGUUGCUUGCUCCGUCAGAUGA
RNAcentral lists this ribosomal RNA (342 nucleotides) under Triticum aestivum (bread wheat). RNAcentral's name for it is "partial small subunit ribosomal RNA". Lineage: Eukaryota; Viridiplantae; Streptophyta; Magnoliopsida; Poales; Poaceae. The record is from RNAcentral.